RNAcentral lists this long non-coding RNA (736 nucleotides) under Rattus norvegicus (Norway rat). RNAcentral describes it as "long non-coding RNA NONRATT003877". The record is from RNAcentral. Lineage: Eukaryota; Metazoa; Chordata; Mammalia; Rodentia; Muridae.
AGGCAGGCGCUCAAGUUUUAAAGGUUAAGAGUGAAAAACAAGAAAACCGAAGUCCGUGCUGAAGCAUGCAGGACACCGGCUCUCCGCUGCUUGCUGUGAACGGCACGGGGAGCAUCCGCUUCUGGCUCUCUCUGCAGAGAGAACAAGUUUCUAGUGGAGGCCGCUGCCCUCACCACCUUCGCUGAACUUCCCUUACACCAGGCAACAUGUAGGAUGCUACAGCCGUGAGCAGGCAAUGGGCGAAGGGGGCAGGUUUUCCACUGCUCUCGCAAUGAAAUCCUAAGGCAUCUACACAGCCUGAAAAUCUUCAAGCUAAAAGUGGAAUAAAAAAAUGGUUGGAGAGCAGAGCAUGGGGUGUUUGCCUGAUCCCAGAAGUCAGAUACACCAGAAGAGGGCAUCGGAUCCCAUUUCAGAUGGCUGUGAGCCACCACGUGGUUGUUGGAAUUGAACUCAGGACCUCUGGAAGAGCAGUCAGUGCUCCUAACCACUGAGCCAUCUCUCCAGUCCUGUGGUGCAUUUCCUUAACUGAGACUGAUGUGUCCAACUCACUGUGAGCCCGACCUCUGGGCAGGUCGUCCUGGGCGCUAUAAGGAAGCAGGCUAAGUAACCCAUGGGAGCAAGCCGGUGAGCGAGCGGCACACUCCACAGCACCCGCAUCAGCUCCUGCCUGGACUCCUGUCCUCAUGGGGGACUGUGAUGUGGAAUUGUAAGCUUGAAUAAACCCUUUCCUCCCCAG